Molecule: ribosomal RNA, 715 nt
Filed under: uncultured bacterium
Lineage: Bacteria
Description: bacterial SSU rRNA
Rfam family: Bacterial small subunit ribosomal RNA
Source: RNAcentral
GCGGGCUUCGGCCUGGCGGCGAGUGGCGGACGGGUGAGUAAUGCAUCGGAACGUGCCCAGGAGUGGGGGAUAACGUAGCGAAAGUUACGCUAAUACCGCAUACGUACUGAGGUAGAAAGCGGGGGAUCGAAAGACCUCGCGCUCAUGGAGCGGCCGAUGUCGGAUUAGCUAGUUGGUGAGGUAAAAGCUCACCAAGGCGACGAUCCGUAGCUGGUCUGAGAGGACGACCAGCCACACUGGGACUGAGACACGGCCCAGACUCCUACGGGAGGCAGCAGUGGGGAAUCUUGGACAAUGGGGGAAACCCUGAUCCAGCAAUGCCGCGUGUGGGAUGAAGGCCCUCGGGUUGUAAACCACUUUUGGCAGGAAAGAAAUCGCCUGUGCUAAUACCAUGGGCGGAUGACGGUACCUGCAGAAUAAGCACCGGCUAACUACGUGCCAGCAGCCGCGGUAAUACGUAGGGUGCGAGCGUUAAUCGGAAUUACUGGGCGUAAAGCGUGCGCAGGCGGUUUUGUAAGACAGAUGUGAAAUCCCCGGGCUUAACCUGGGAACUGCAUUUGUGACUGCAAGACUAGAGUGUGUCAGAGGGAGGUGGAAUUCCGCGUGUAGCAGUGAAAUGCGUAGAGAUGCGGAAGAACACCGAUGGCGAAGGCAGCCUCCUGGGAUAACACUGACGCUCAGGCACGAAAGCGUGGGGAGCAAACAGGAUUAGAUA